This 429-nucleotide ribosomal RNA is filed under the name Bacteroidota bacterium. Its description in RNAcentral is "Bacteroidetes bacterium partial 16S ribosomal RNA". It matches the Rfam family "Bacterial small subunit ribosomal RNA", at positions 355 to 776 of the family's 1533-position model. The record is from RNAcentral. Lineage: Bacteria; Pseudomonadati; Bacteroidota.
UAGGGAAUCUUCCGCAAUGGACGCAAGCCUGACGGAGCAACGCCGCGUUAGUGAAGAAGGAUUUCGGUUCGUAAAACUCUGUUGUUAGAGAAGAACAGCGCAUAGAGUAACUGUUAUGCGUGUGACGGUAUCUAACCAGAAAGCCACGGCUAACUACGUGCCAGCAGCCGCGGUAAUACGUAGGUGGCAAGCGUUGUCCGGAUUUAUUGGGCGUAAAGCGAGCGCAGGCGGUCAAUUAAGUCUGAUGUGAAAGCCCCCGGCUCAACCGGGGAGGGUCAUUUGAAACUGGUUGGCUUGAGUGCAGAAGAGGAGAGUGGAAUUCCAUGUGUAGCGGUGAAAUGCGUAGAUAUAUGGAGGAACACCAGUGGCGAAGGCGACUCUCUGGUCUGUAACUGACGCUGAGGUUCGAAAGCGUGGGUAGCAAACAGG